RNAcentral lists this ribosomal RNA (226 nucleotides) under uncultured bacterium. Its description in RNAcentral is "partial 16S ribosomal RNA". It matches the Rfam family "Bacterial small subunit ribosomal RNA", at positions 1131 to 1361 of the family's 1533-position model. The record is from RNAcentral.
CCGGGGACUCCGGAGAAACGCCGGGUUUCAAGCCGGAGGAAGGUGGGGACGACGUCAAGUCAUCAUGGCCCUUAUGUCCUGGGCUAACGCGUGCUACAAUGGCCGGUACAGAGGGCGGCAAGACCGCGAGGUGGAGCGAAUCCCUCAAAACCCGUCUCAGUAUGGGGGCUGCAACCCGCCCCCAUGAAGGCGGAAUCGCUAGUAAUCGCGNAUCAGCGAUGGCGCG